This 428-nucleotide long non-coding RNA is filed under the name Bos taurus (domestic cattle). Its description in RNAcentral is "long non-coding RNA NONBTAT018702". The record is from RNAcentral. Lineage: Eukaryota; Metazoa; Chordata; Mammalia; Artiodactyla; Bovidae.
CCAAACCUGGGAAGUAGUGAUUUCCAGGGCAAGUUUUGAAGUAUCCUGUUGUCUUUUAUCUCAAAGGGCAUAUGACAAUUGGUAGCAGAAAUCAAUAUCAUUAACAUUAAACACAAUAUAUGCCACAUAAUGUGUUUAAAAUAGUUAUAGUAGUAAUCUCAAAAAUCAGCUAUGGUAGCUUUUUAUGGCUGCAAAAAUACUGAAUAUUUUAAUAAGGUAAUAUUUAAUACAGGAUUUUAAACAACACAGAGGAUGUAAUAAGAUAAAACCGGAAAUCAGUUCUUAAAGAGAGUCAUGACCAGUCCUUAUGGGGAUGAUUUUCUUGUUCUGGGGUAUUGCUUUCAAGUUAAAUAUGAAGGCCUUCAAGCAUAGAUCAUGUUUUCCACUAGUCAAGAGAGGGCAUUAGACUGAACUGUCCAUGGGUCUGA